Molecule: long non-coding RNA, 118 nt
Filed under: Felis catus (domestic cat)
Lineage: Eukaryota; Metazoa; Chordata; Mammalia; Carnivora; Felidae
Description: lncRNA (ENSFCAG00000042205.2)
Source: RNAcentral
GCAACUUCAGCCCACCUUCCUGCCUCCUUGUUUGCUGGGAAUUACCAGUUAGCCAUCCUCCAGAUUAAAAGUUGAAGUUAUUCUGAGAAAAAAAUACACACACAGGAUUGAAAGUAAG